UGAAAUUUCAUUUUGAUUUUCUGGCUGAAGACUAUUCUGUUUGUAUACGUCCACCACAGUUACUUUAUCCCUUCAUCUGUGGAUGGGCAGUCUCGCUCUGUUGCCCAGGCUGGAGUGCAGUGGCACGAUCUCGGCUCACUGCAAGCUCCGCUUCCUGGGUUCACACCAUUCUCCUGCCUCAGCCUCCUGAGUAGCUGGGAUUACAGGCACCUGCCACCACGCCCAGAAUGAAACGUAUAUGGAAAUGUUCUGUGCAAUAAAAACAGCAGUGGUAACAGGAGAUGUAGGCUCUGAGUGUCUCACUGGAGACUGAAGUCCACAGAUAUGCAACAAAGCCUUUGUCUCCCUGAUGUUUUUGCCUGCUGCUGGUCAUGUGCUUUCACACAUCAAGAGAAGACGUUUAAUAUUUGA
This 411-nucleotide long non-coding RNA is filed under the name Pongo abelii (Sumatran orangutan). RNAcentral describes it as "lincRNA". Lineage: Eukaryota; Metazoa; Chordata; Mammalia; Primates; Hominidae. The record is from RNAcentral.